UACGUAGGGGGCAAGCGUUGUCCGGAUUUACUGGGUGUAAAGGGCGUGCAGCCGGGCUGACAAGUCAGAUGUGAAAUCCCGCGGCUCAACCGCGGAACUGCAUUUGAAACUGUCAGUCUUGAGUACCGGAGAGGUCAUCGGAAUUCCUAGUGUAGCGGUGAAAUGCGUAGAUAUUAGGAAGAACACCGGUGGCGAAGGCGACUUUCUGGACUGUAACUGACGUUGAGGCACGAAAGCGCGGGUAUCGAACAGG
Molecule: ribosomal RNA, 253 nt
Filed under: uncultured Oscillospira sp.
Lineage: Bacteria; Bacillati; Bacillota; Clostridia; Eubacteriales; Oscillospiraceae
Description: partial 16S ribosomal RNA
Rfam family: Bacterial small subunit ribosomal RNA
Source: RNAcentral